Molecule: non-coding RNA, 21 nt
Filed under: Caenorhabditis elegans
Lineage: Eukaryota; Metazoa; Nematoda; Chromadorea; Rhabditida; Rhabditidae
Source: RNAcentral
UGCAUUUUGGACAUGUGUUAC